GGGUGGGCGGUGGCCCGCCCCCGCGGAUCGUCCCGUAGCACAAGGGGUGGUCUGUAUUAUUGGGCCUAAAGCGUCCGUAGCUGGCCGGUGAGAUGCCUGGGUAAAUCGAUGCGCUCAACGCAGCGAACUCCGGGUAGACCGGCAGGCUUGGGACCGGGAGAGGCGUGAGCUACUCGGGGGGUAGGGGUAAAAUCCUGUAAUCCUCCGGGGAGGACCAGUGGCGAAGGCGUCACGCUAGAACGGCUCCGACAGUGAGGGACGAAGCCCUGGGGCGCAAACCGGAUUAGAUACCCGGUAGUC
This 300-nucleotide ribosomal RNA is filed under the name uncultured Planosporangium sp. RNAcentral describes it as "bacterial SSU rRNA". It matches the Rfam family "Archaeal small subunit ribosomal RNA", at positions 445 to 746 of the family's 1478-position model. Lineage: Bacteria; Bacillati; Actinomycetota; Actinomycetes; Micromonosporales; Micromonosporaceae. The record is from RNAcentral.